Molecule: ribosomal RNA, 480 nt
Filed under: uncultured bacterium
Lineage: Bacteria
Description: bacterial SSU rRNA
Rfam family: Bacterial small subunit ribosomal RNA
Source: RNAcentral
UUGAACGCUGGCGGAAUGCUUUACACAUGCAAGUCGAGCGGCAGCGCGGGGCAACCUGGCGGCGAGCGGCGAACGGGUGAGUAACAUAUCGGAACGUAUCCUAUCGUGGGGGAUAACUAGUCGAAAGACUAGCUAAUACCGCAUACGUCCUGAGGGAGAAAGCGGGGGCUCGCAAGACCUCGCGCGAUUGGAGUGGCCGAUAUCUGAUUAGCUAGAUGGUGGGGUAAAGGCUCACCAUGGCGACGAUCAGUAGCUGGUCUGAGAGGAUGAUCAGCCACACUGGGACUGAGACACGGCCCAGACUCCUACGGGAGGCAGCAGUGGGGAAUUUUGGACAAUGGGCGCAAGCCUGAUCCAGCCAUUCCGCGUGAGUGAAGAAGGCCUUCGGGUUGUAAAGCUCUUUCGGCAGGAACGAAACGGUGGGAUCUAAUACAUACCACUAAUGACGGUACCUGAAGAAGAAGCACCGGCUAACUACGU